AGGACGAACGCUGGCGGCGUGCUUAACACAUGCAAGUCGAGCGGAAAGGCCCUUCGGGGUACUCGAGCGGCGAACGGGUGAGUAACACGUGAGCAACCUGCCCUUAGCUUCGGGAUAGCUCCGGGAAACCGGAAUUAAUACCGGAUAUGACUAUGGCCGACAUCAGCCAUGGUGGAAAGUUUUUCGGCUAGGGAUGGACUCGCGGCCUAUCAGCUAGUUGGUGAGGUAACGGCUCACCAAGGCGACGACGGGUAGCCGGCCUGAGAGGGCGACCGGCCACACUGGGACUGAGACACGGCCCAGACUCCUACGGGAGGCAGCAGUGGGGAAUAUUGCGCAAUGGGCGAAAGCCUGACGCAGCGACGCCGCGUGGGGAUGAAUGCCUUCGGGUUGUAAACCCUUUCAGCAGGACGAAGCGAAAGUGACGGUACCUGCAGAAGAAGCGCCGGCUAACUACGUGCCAGCAGCCGC
RNAcentral lists this ribosomal RNA (471 nucleotides) under uncultured bacterium. Its description in RNAcentral is "SSU rRNA". It matches the Rfam family "Bacterial small subunit ribosomal RNA", at positions 26 to 518 of the family's 1533-position model. The record is from RNAcentral.